RNAcentral lists this ribosomal RNA (253 nucleotides) under uncultured bacterium. Its description in RNAcentral is "partial 16S ribosomal RNA". It matches the Rfam family "Bacterial small subunit ribosomal RNA", at positions 524 to 776 of the family's 1533-position model. The record is from RNAcentral.
GACAGAGGGGGCAAGCGUUGCUCGGAAUUACUGGGCGUAAAGGGCGCGUAGGCGGCACGGCAAGUCGGGAGUGAAAGCCCGGGGCUCAACCCCGGAGGGUCUCUCGAAACUGCCGAGCUAGAGUGCGGAAGAGGCAACCGGAAUUCCCAGUGUAGCGGUGAAAUGCGUAGAUAUUGGGAAGAACACCGGAGGCGAAGGCGGGUUGCUGGGCCGACACUGACGCUGAGGCGCGAAAGCCAGGGGAGCAAACGGG